RNAcentral lists this ribosomal RNA (385 nucleotides) under uncultured bacterium. Its description in RNAcentral is "bacterial SSU rRNA". It matches the Rfam family "Bacterial small subunit ribosomal RNA", at positions 370 to 772 of the family's 1533-position model. The record is from RNAcentral.
AAUGGGGGAAACCCUGACGCAGCAACGCCGCGUGGGUGAUGAAGGUCUUCGGAUUGUAAAACCCUGUCUUUGGGGACGAUAAUGACGGUACCCAAGGAGGAAGCCACGGCUAACUACGUGCCAGCAGCCGCGGUAAUACGUAGGUGGCGAGCGUUGUCCGGAAUUACUGGGCGUAAAGAGUAUGUAGGCGGAUGCCUAAGUCAGAUGUGAAAUUCCCGGGCUUAACCUGGGCGCUGCAUUUGAAACUGGGCAUCUAGAGUGCAGGAGAGGAAAGUGGAAUUCCUAGUGUAGCGGUGAAAUGCGUAGAGAUUAGGAAGAACACCAGUGGCGAAGGCGACUUUCUGGACUGUAACUGACGCUGAGAUACGAAAGCGUGGGGAGCAAA